Molecule: ribosomal RNA, 481 nt
Filed under: uncultured bacterium
Lineage: Bacteria
Description: partial 16S ribosomal RNA
Rfam family: Bacterial small subunit ribosomal RNA
Source: RNAcentral
GAUGAACGCUGGCGGCGUGCUUAACACAUGCAAGUCGAACGAAGCACUUUAUUUGAUUUCCUUCGGGACUGAUUAUUUUGUGACUGAGUGGCGGGCGGGUGAGUAACGCGUGGGUAACCUGCCUUGUACAGGGGGAUAACAGUUGGAAACGGCUGCUAAUACCGCAUAAGCGCACAGCAUCGCAUGAUGCAGUGUGAAAAACUCCGGUGGUAUAAGAUGGACCCGCGUUGGAUUAGCUAGUUGGUGAGGUAACGGCCCACCAAGGCGACGAUCCAUAGCCGACCUGCGAGGGUGACCGGCCACAUUGGGACUGCGACACGGCCCAAACUCCUACGGGAGGCAGCAGUGGGGAAUAUUGCACAAUGGGCGAAAGCCUGAUGCAGCGACGCCGCGUGAGCGAAGAAGUAUUUCGGUAUGUAAAGCUCUAUCAGCAGGGAAGAUAAUGACGGUACCUGACGAAGAAGCACCGGCUAAAUACGUG